Molecule: long non-coding RNA, 1034 nt
Filed under: Salvia miltiorrhiza (redroot sage)
Lineage: Eukaryota; Viridiplantae; Streptophyta; Magnoliopsida; Lamiales; Lamiaceae
Description: long non-coding RNA (SMIL_LNC007272)
Source: RNAcentral
UAUUUUUGUUUCUACGUUGCUCGAUGCUGCUGCUGGCAGAGGAGUUUCCUCUGUUACUUGUCUUUGAAUAUUUUGGCUGAGGUCCCAUAUUAUUUGUGUUCCUGCGUUGGUCUGUGGUGGCUGAGGAGUCGCGUCUGCUGCCGUACUUGCACAGGUCGUGGCAGGAACCUAUUGAAGCUCUGAGAUAAUUCGGAAUGGGGAUUGGUUCACUGAAGAUUAGGGCUGCGCCACCGGUGGAGUUUCGACGUUGAAGGCCGCCGGAUUCCGGCUUGAUUUUCUUCGGUUUUGUUGCAGCAUCGAGCAUCGAUUUGGCCAUCGUAGAACAACAACAAAGCUGCAGACAGAAGAGAAGAAGAUAUUGAUUAAUUUUAGUGUUUGGAUCCUUAAAAUAUAACUAUGGAGCAAAUUUUUGUUCAUUGUUUUUCUUGUUUUUUUUUUUUGGUGAUUGCACCACGGUGAACUCGAACCCAGGACUUCAGGCCUUGGGCAUAGGCCAACACAUGUUCAUUGUUGUCUCUAUUGAAAUGAUGCGAGAAUGUAAAAUGAACCUCUUUAGUUUGAUUAAUUAACAAAUAAGUUUAAAUAUAAUGUGACGAUAGAUUCGAACUUGCAUGAUAGAUAUCAAACAGUACAAAAAUAUAUAUAAGUAUCAAUUCUAUUUUAGUUUCUAUUUUAAAGGAUAACAGAUUUCUGAAGGAAAACUAUGAUCCCCAAGAACAGGAUACAAAAUUACAUAUCCUUCAAAAACCCUUUUCAUUUAUAAUUAUAUAAAAUCUGUGAAUAAUGCAGAAUUUUCAUAUCACAUUUGAAUAAAGAAAAAGAAAAGGAAACAAAAAACUCUAUAAAGGAAACUGUAAAUUCUUACCUUUUUAAGAUCAAAGAAUUUGGAGAAAAUGGAAGGAGACGAUAAAAAGUUGUUUUACGUGAAAGGGAGACUGUAAAUUAUUAUGAAAAAGUUUUAUGGGAGAUUUAGGAUUGGGGUUAUUGCAAAAUGUGGGAUGGCAGCUCCAUAUUUUAUUGGAAAAGGAGAAAAA